AUUGAACGCUGGCGGUAUGCUUAACACAUGCAAGUCGAACGGCAGCACGUUGUUUCUUUUCGGAGAAAUAAUGGUGGCGAGUGGCGGACGGGUGAGUAACGCGUAGGAAUCUGCCCUAAAGUGGGGGAUAACCCGGGGAAACCCGGGCUAAUACCGCAUAAUCUCUACGGAGCAAAGCUGGGGACCAAAGUUUACUUUGGCCUGGCGCUAUAGGAUGAGCCUGCGUCGGAUUAGCUAGUUGGUGGGGUAAUGGCCUACCAAGGUAACGAUCCGUAGCUGGUCUGAGAGGAUGAUCAGCCACACUGGGACUGAGACACGGCCCAGACUCCUACGGGAGGCAGCAGUGGGGAAUAUUGGACAAUGGGCGCAAGCCUGAUCCAGCAAUACCGCGUGUGUGAAGAAGGCCUUAGGGUUGUAAAGCACUUUCAGUAGCU
This 434-nucleotide ribosomal RNA is filed under the name uncultured bacterium. RNAcentral's name for it is "bacterial SSU rRNA". It matches the Rfam family "Bacterial small subunit ribosomal RNA", at positions 30 to 444 of the family's 1533-position model. The record is from RNAcentral.